CCUACGGGGGGCAGCAGUGAGGAAUAUUGGUCAAUGGACGAGAGUCUGAACCAGCCAAGUAGCGUGAAGGAUGACUGCCCUAUGGGUUGUACACUUCUUUUAUAUGGGAAUAAAAUGUUCCACGUGUGGGAGUUUGUAUGUACCUUAUGAAUAAGGAUCGGCUAACUCCGUGCCAGCAGCCGCGGUAAUACGGAGGAUCCGAGCGUUAUCCGGAUUUAUUGGGUUUAAAGGGAGCGUAGGUGGAUUGUUAAGUCAGUUGUGAAAGUUUGCGGCUCAACCGUAAAAUGGCAGUUGAAACUGGCAGUCUUGAGUACAGUAGAGGUAGGCGGAAUUCGUGGUGUAGCGGUGAAAUGCUUAGAUAUCACGAAGAACUCCGAUUGCGAAGGCAGUUCACUGGACUGACACUGACACUGAGGCUCGAAAGUGUGGGUAUCAAACAGGAUUAGAUACCCCAGUAGUC
Molecule: ribosomal RNA, 460 nt
Filed under: uncultured bacterium
Lineage: Bacteria
Description: partial 16S ribosomal RNA
Rfam family: Bacterial small subunit ribosomal RNA
Source: RNAcentral